GAAAUGCCAUAAGUAAUGUGAAUUGCAGAAUUCAGUGAAUCAUCGAAUCUUUGAACGCACAUUGCGCCCGCCAGUAUUCUGGCGGGCAUGCCUGUCCGAGCGUCAUUUCAACCAUCAAGCCCCCGGGCUUGUGUUGGGGACCUGCGGCUGCCCGCAGGCCCUGAAAACCAGUGGCGGGCUCGCUGUCACACCGAGCGUAGUAGCAAUCACCUCGCUCAGGGCGUGCUGCGGGUUCCGGCCGUUAAACAGCCUUACAAAACCCAAGGUUGACCUCGGAUCAGGUAGGAAGACCCGCUGAACUUAAGC
This 306-nucleotide unclassified non-coding RNA is filed under the name plant metagenome. RNAcentral describes it as "partial contains 5.8S ribosomal RNA, internal transcribed spacer 2, and large subunit ribosomal RNA". The stretch from base 1 to 105 matches the Rfam family "5.8S ribosomal RNA", at positions 50 to 154 of the family's 154-position model. The record is from RNAcentral.